This is a long non-coding RNA of Chiroxiphia lanceolata (lance-tailed manakin), 399 nucleotides long. RefSeq lists it as uncharacterized. NCBI's taxonomy places the organism in Eukaryota, Metazoa, Chordata, Aves, Passeriformes, Pipridae. The record is from RefSeq and is a predicted model, not a curated record. The transcript has 4 exons.
AAUUGCGAAAGAAGCAGCUAAGCCUGAGCAUCUGCCCUGGAUCUGCAUGACUGCAAUGUAGGCAGAAGGCUUCAAAAAGACAGUCCCUAUCAGACAGGAGGGAGAAGAGACAAAGAAAUGAGUGAGGUGGAAGGAGACUCCUCUCUUGCUUACUGUGCAGCAGUACUGUCCUCAACAGAGGCACACAGACACUUUCCAUUGACUUCCAGGGGCUUGCAACAUGGCCCAGAAGACAACCUGUAGGUGCACGUUUCUAAGGAGGUGCAAUGACUGGGAUUUGCAUCCAAACAGGAACCCUGCAGAUUUCUUCAAAUCCUGGCGACAAAGAUACAAUGGCAACCAGAAACAUUAUGCUCACAAUACUGAAGAGUGCAAAUGCAUUAGCUCAUGACCUCCGAG